This 459-nucleotide ribosomal RNA is filed under the name Eretes griseus. RNAcentral's name for it is "partial 16S ribosomal RNA". It matches the Rfam family "Bacterial large subunit ribosomal RNA", at positions 1806 to 2534 of the family's 2925-position model. The record is from RNAcentral. Lineage: Eukaryota; Metazoa; Arthropoda; Insecta; Coleoptera; Dytiscidae.
AACAAAAACAUGUCCUCUUGAAAUUAAUUUGAGGUCUAGCCUGCCCACUGAAAUUAUUUAAAUGGCCGCAGUAAUUUGACUGUGCAAAGGUAGCAUAAUCAUUAGUUUUUUAAUUAAAAGCUUGUAUGAAUGGUUGGACAAAGUAAAAUCUGUCUCUAUUUAAUUUAUAGUAGAAUUUAAUUUUUAAGUUAAAAAGCUUAAAUUUUUAUAAAAGACGAGAAGACCCUAUAGAUCUUUAUUUAAAUUUAUAUAAUUUUAAUUUAGAAUUUUUUAUUAAUUAUAUUUUUUUAAAUUUUAUUGGGGUAAUAAAAAGAUUAAAAAAAUUCUUUUUUUAAUAUACAUUGAUUUAUGAAUAAAUGAUCCAAUAUUUUUGAUUAAAAGAUUAAGUUACCUUAGGGAUAACAGCGUAAUUUUUUUAGAGAGUUCAUAUCGAUAAAAAAGUUUGCGACCUCGAUGUUG